This 502-nucleotide ribosomal RNA is filed under the name uncultured bacterium. RNAcentral describes it as "partial 16S ribosomal RNA". It matches the Rfam family "Bacterial small subunit ribosomal RNA", at positions 30 to 523 of the family's 1533-position model. The record is from RNAcentral.
AUUGAACGCUGGCGGCGUGCCUAACACAUGCAAGUCGAGCGGUAACAGGUGUAGCAAUACAUGCUGACGAGCGGCGAACGGGUGAGUAAUGCUUCGGAAUCUACCUUAUGGUGGGGAAUAACUAGCUGAAAGGUUAGCUAAUACCGCAUACGUCCUACGGGAGAAAGCAGGGGAUCGCAAGACCUUGCGCCAAAAGAUGAGCCGAAGUCGGAUUAGCUAGUUGGUAGGGUAACGGCCUACCAAGGCGACGAUCCGUAGCUGGUCUGAGAGGACGACCAGCAACACUGGGACUGAGACACGGCCCAGACUCCUACGGGAGGCAGCAGUGGGGAAUAUUGGACAAUGGGGGAAACCCUGAUCCAGCGACGCCGCGUGUGUGAAGAAGGCCUGCGGGUUGUAAAGCACUUUUAGUGGGGAUGAAAUGUGCAGGGUUAAUACCUCUGCAUUUUGACCUAACCCACAGAAAAAGCACCGGCUAACUCUGUGCCAGCAGCCGCAGUAA